Molecule: non-coding RNA, 299 nt
Organism: Cinara cedri
Lineage: Eukaryota; Metazoa; Arthropoda; Insecta; Hemiptera; Aphididae
Source: the annotation of a GenBank genome assembly
UAAUAUUAUCCUUUUAUCCGGUUCACUAACACCUUACGAAUGAAGUUCUCAAAACGUACCCUAUUCGCGACACCUUGAGUAUAAUGUAAUAUUUGAUCCGGUAUUUACACGAUAUAAUAUUAUUAUCACGGCGUAUCGUUCUGAUCCGUAUACGACGGGCCGCGAAUGGCGGAUUCGUCUUUUUAAUAUACAGGGUGUCCCACAGUGUUGUCCUUUGCCAAUAAUAUUCUGUCGAUAUUCAUUUAUUUUUAAGUGGUUAUUUUUCCAAUCGGAGUUUUUCCGAGGGAAACACAUAAUGG